Molecule: ribosomal RNA, 442 nt
Filed under: uncultured Pseudomonadota bacterium
Lineage: Bacteria; Pseudomonadati; Pseudomonadota
Description: bacterial SSU rRNA
Rfam family: Bacterial small subunit ribosomal RNA
Source: RNAcentral
ACACAUGCAAGUCGAGCGAGAAAGUUUCUUCUGAAGCGAGUAAAGCGGCGGACGGCUGAGUAACGCGUAGGAAUCUACCAUUCAGUGGGGGAUAGCUCGGGGAAACCCGAAAUUAAUACCGCAUAUACCCUAAGGGGGAAAGAGGGCCUAUCCUUGGAAGCUCUUGCUGUUUGAUGAGCCUGCGUAGAUUAUGUUUGUUGGUGAGGUAAUGGCUCACCAAGGCUACGAUCUCUAGCUGGACUGAGAGGACGAUCAGCCACACUGGGACUGAGACACGGACCAGACUCCUACGGGAGGCAGCAGUGCGGAAUAUUGGACAAUGGGAGAAACCCUGAUGGUGCAACGCCGCGUGAGGGAUGAAGGCCUGCGGGUCGUAAACCUCUGUCAUCAAGGAGCAACAUGGAGGUUCAUAGCCUCCCCUGAGUUAACUGUAGAGGAAGCA